Molecule: transfer RNA, 76 nt
Filed under: Deinococcota bacterium
Lineage: Bacteria; Thermotogati; Deinococcota
Description: tRNA-Val
Rfam family: tRNA
About the family: Transfer RNA (tRNA) molecules are approximately 80 nucleotides in length.
Source: RNAcentral
GGGCGAUUAGCUCAGCUGGAAGAGCGUCCGCCUUACAAGCGGAAUGUCGGCGGUUCGAGCCCGUCAUCGCCCACCA